CAGGAUGAACGCUAGCUACAGGCUUAACACAUGCAAGUCGAGGGGCAGCAUGGUCUUAGCUUGCUAAGGCCGAUGGCAACCGGCGCACGGGUGAGUAACACGUAUCCAACCUGCCGUCUACUCUUGGACAGCCUUCUGAAAGGAAGAUUAAUACAAGAUGGCAUCAUGAGUCCGCAUGUUCACAUGAUUAAAGGUAUUCCGGUAGACGAUGGGGAUGCGUUCCAUUAGAUAGUAGGCGGGGUAACGGCCCACCUAGUCUUCGAUGGAUAGGGGUUCUGAGAGGAAGGUCCCCCACAUUGGAACUGAGACACGGUCCAAACUCCUACGGGAGGCAGCAGUGAGGAAUAUUGGUCAAUGGGCGAGAGCCUGAACCAGCCAAGUAGCGUGAAGGAUGACUGCCCUAUGGGUUGUAAACUUCUUUUAUAAAGGAAUAAAGUCGGGUAUGGAUACCCGUUUGCAUGUACUUUAUGAAUAAGGAUCGGCUAACUCCGUGCCAGCAGCCGCGGUAAUACGGAGGAUCCGAGCGUUAUCCGGAUUUAUUGGGUUUAAAGGGAGCGUAGAUGGAUGUUUAAGUCAGUUGUGAAAGUUUGCGGCUCAACCGUAAAAUUGCAGUUGAUACUGGAUAUCUUGAGUGCAGUUGAGGCAGGCGGAAUUCGUGGUGUAGCGGUGAAAUGCUUAGAUAUCACGAAGAACUCCGAUUGCGAAGGCAGCCUGCUAAGCUGCAACUGACAUUGAGGCUCGAAAGUGUGGGUAUCAAACAGGAUUAGAUACCCUGGUAGUCCACACGGUAAACGAUGAAUACUCGCUGUUUGCGAUAUACUGCAAGCGGCCAAGCGAAAGCGUUAAGUAUUCCACCUGGGGAGUACGCCGGCAACGGUGAAACUCAAAGGAAUUGACGGGGGCCCGCACAAGCGGAGGAACAUGUGGUUUAAUUCGAUGAUACGCGAGGAACCUUACCCGGGCUUAAAUUGCAGAUGAAUUACGGUGAAAGCCGUAAGCCGCAAGGCAUCUGUGAAGGUGCUGCAUGGUUGUCGUCAGCUCGUGCCGUGAGGUGUCGGCUUAAGUGCCAUAACGAGCGCAACCCUUGUUGUCAGUUACUAACAGGUUCCGCUGAGGACUCUGACAAGACUGCCAUCGUAAGAUGUGAGGAAGGUGGGGAUGACGUCAAAUCAGCACGGCCCUUACGUCCGGGGCUACACACGUGUUACAAUGGGGGGUACAGAGGGCCGCUACCACGCGAGUGGAUGCCAAUCCCCAAAACCUCUCUCAGUUCGGACUGGAGUCUGCAACCCGACUCCACGAAGCUGGAUUCGCUAGUAAUCGCGCAUCAGCCACGGCGCGGUGAAUACGUUCCCGGGCCUUGUACACACCGCCCGUCAAGCCAUGGGAGCCGGGGGUACCUGAAGUGCGUAACCGCGAGGAGCGCCCUAGGGUAAAACUGGUG
Molecule: ribosomal RNA, 1444 nt
Filed under: uncultured organism
Description: SSU rRNA
Rfam family: Bacterial small subunit ribosomal RNA
Source: RNAcentral